This is a non-coding RNA of Danio rerio (zebrafish), 74 nucleotides long. Lineage: Eukaryota; Metazoa; Chordata; Actinopteri; Cypriniformes; Danionidae. The record is from Rfam.
GGCUCUAUGGUGUAAUGGUUAGCACUCUGGACUUCUGGAAUCCAGUGGUCCGAGUUCAAAUUUCAGUGGAACCU